Molecule: unclassified non-coding RNA, 206 nt
Filed under: plant metagenome
Description: partial contains small subunit ribosomal RNA, internal transcribed spacer 1, and 5.8S ribosomal RNA
Source: RNAcentral
UUUCCGUAGGUGAACCUGCGGAAGGAUCAUUCAUAAUAGGUGUUUUACUGCACUUUUUGAAAAUAGUACUCACCUUGUGUGCAAUGUUGUGUUUCUUUUCGGAGAAACACCUACACCAACCUAUAACCUUGAACCACUUUGUCUGAAAAACUAUUAUGAAUACUUAAUUCAAAAUACAACUUUCAACAACGGAUCUCUUGGCUCUC